UCUUCACACGUUGAUGAGAGGAUCUCAGCUUUCAUGAGAAGUGCCCUGGUGGCUGUCCUUCUGGAGUGGGAGAAUGCUCAAUAUAGCACUGGCCUUCAGAGACAGCAGGCAUGCUACCAAAGCGGUGUGAACCCAGAAGGCCCACCAGGAAUAUGGACAAGCUAUGGAUACUUAUCAGCGCAAUAGCACAGGCUAAACAACAUACCAAAGAUCUGUGAAAGCAGAGAUCAAGAGACAUUCGAAUG
Equus quagga is the source of this 245-nucleotide long non-coding RNA. RefSeq lists it as uncharacterized. NCBI's taxonomy places the organism in Eukaryota, Metazoa, Chordata, Mammalia, Perissodactyla, Equidae. The record is from RefSeq and is a predicted model, not a curated record. The transcript has 3 exons.